AGGGAAAUAGGAACUUUUCGAUAGUGCAGGAAGGGGGCGCCAAAAUGCUGCAAAUGGAAGUUCGAGUCCUGAACACUGACGCCUUAUAUCCCAAAGUAAAUUUUCGCUUUAAUCAAAUUUAACAGCUGUUAACUGAAAGUUUUCCUCCCUUUCCUUUUUUAUUUCCUUUUUUCCAAAACGGAAGCCAGGUGUGCAGUACUUUCCAACAUGCUGUAUUUGGGGGAUUAAUUGGUGUGUCGGUUUUACAUACUCGUGGCAGCUUUUUGCCAACAUGAACUUGCCACAAUUUGUCAGGUUGGAAACGUGCGGUUCUUAGCUGGACAGCUGCUAGAUGCCUGGAAAUAAUCCCUUCAUGUGAGGCGCGUGCCCCUACCUCCUUUUUUCUUUUCAGACCCGCUUCCUCGGCUUUUUUUCUUCUCCUUUCUCUUGCUUUCCUAAUUCCCCGUGCCUCUGGUCUGGGAGGUCGCAUUCCCUUUCCAACCCACAGUCCAGGCACUUGCGCGCGUUUAGCCAACGGGCUCCUCGACCUCUCUUUAUCUCUCCUUAAGUUGGAAGAGCCACGCUGCCGAGCCUCUAGCCUUCUGGGUGGUUCGGAGCUAAGACCAUCUCGUCUACAGAAGAGAAGAAAAGGAAUGUCUGCUGCCGUUGUGGUCUCACAUCUCAUGGACUUCAGUCCCUCGGGCUGAGGGAACAAUAACCUUCCAGUAGCCCCCCCCCCCCCCAACACCAGUGCCUUCUCACGCAGAGGAUUUCUGGCAAUAGCGAGGGGGGAGAAGCCUCAUCUCCCGAAUGCUAGGAUCCCCCUAGUUGGUAUCACGAUUUGAAAAGGCUCCCCUCGCUCCAGUCUCUGCUCUCGAGCCUGGGAGAGACAUCGCGCCACCCAGCCCCAGCCGAGCGGACCCUAGGCUCCCCGAGGCUCUCUUGGUGACACCAGGGCGCACCUCACACUCACCGAGGGGGCGGAAAAGAGAACAAAUCCAGGUAAGGAGGAGCAUCUCCUUUCUACCAUUUACACAUCGCAUACAUGGGGAACCAUUGCUUUGGAGCCCCUUUGCCUCCUGCCUCCUUUCCUCCUUUCCCUCCCUCCCCCAGCCCCUUCUUUCUUUCCCCCGGAGCGGGAAGGUGGGGGGGGAUGAAUUUGAGGGAGUGGAAUGGGGGAAACGCCUCCACACUCAAAUAGAGGAGCCGCCUGGCUGGGCGCAGGGCGAGCCUUUGGCUUUCUGGAAGGAGAGAGCUAUGAAUUAAUGCGAGGCUUCCAAUCGGAUCUAAAUAAUUGCUUAAAGUUUGCUCUAUUUGUAAAGAUAGGGAGGCAAGAAUUGGGCUGGGAGUGAUUAAGGGGGGGGCCGUAGUGGGCUGGAGAGCAUAGCCAAGGAGGGAAGCUAUUGAACAUAAAAAAUACACAGACACACACAAACACAUACACACACACACACGCCUGAACUUGGAUGGAAAGCAGCUUUUUUUUUGAGGGUUUAAAAGAAACUUGUUAGUGGAGAGAAUUACACCACGAAGAAAAUGCUUCAUGCUAGGGGUAUGGCAGAG
Molecule: long non-coding RNA, 1542 nt
Filed under: Vombatus ursinus (common wombat)
Lineage: Eukaryota; Metazoa; Chordata; Mammalia; Diprotodontia; Vombatidae
Description: lncRNA (ENSVURG00010021071.1)
Source: RNAcentral